This 329-nucleotide ribosomal RNA is filed under the name uncultured bacterium. RNAcentral's name for it is "bacterial SSU rRNA". It matches the Rfam family "Bacterial small subunit ribosomal RNA", at positions 8 to 334 of the family's 1533-position model. The record is from RNAcentral.
AGAGUUUGAUUCUGGCUCAGGACGAACGCUGGCGGCGUGCCUAACCCAUGCAAGUCGAACGGGGCGGCGGACUUCGGUCCAAAGCCUAGUGGCGGACGGGUGAGUAAUGCGUGAACAACCAACCUUAUACAGGGGGACAACAGCUGGAAACGGCUGCUAAUACCGCAUAAGACCACAGGACCGCAUGGUCCAGGGGUCAAAGGAGCAAUCCGGUAUAAGACGGGUUCGCGUUCCAUUAGCUAGUUGGUGGGGUAACGGCCUACCAAGGCUGCGAUGGAUAGCCGAGCUGAGAGGCUGAUCGGCCACACUGGGACUGAGAUACGGCCCAG